UGUUAAACAUGCAUUUUUGUUGAUUACUGUUAAAAAUGCCUUAGGAUCUGCAUAGCCCUUCAUUAAACCAAAGGGUCUUUCAGAAGUAGAGGACAAACCACAAAAAUCUCUUAAUGAGAAACAGCAAGAGAAUCAAGAGCUUCUUAUCCGAUGUAUUGGACAACACCUAGGCUUCGCAGGGAACAGACCAAUUGCUGCUAGUAUCAUCUACAAAUGCCUUCUACAGUGGAGAUCUUUUGAAGUUGAGCGGACUAGUGUGUUUGACCGAAUCAUUCGGACCAUAGGCCAUGCUAUCGAGACCCAGGAUAACAAUGACAUCUUAGCCUAUUGGUUGUCCAAUUCCUCGACUCUUCUGCUGCUACUCCAGCGUACAUUGAAAGCAAGUGGUGCUGCUGGAAUGGCUCUUCAGCGCCGUCGAUCAUCCUCGGCUACUCUGUUUGGAAGGAUGACACAUGUGCUGAAUGCUGGCAAAAAUAAGCUUAAAUCAAUGGAUGAGGGCAGAUCUCUUUUGAGCUUACGUGCAUUGAUCUUGAAUGGUAGGAUCCAUCUUGACCAACUGCAUCACCUCAGUUUUUAAUUUCUGAUGUAUAUAGUAAUUUUGCUGGUUGGAAAAUUACAAUUUUAAAUUUCCUUAUUUCCGCUAAUGAAUCCCCCUUUGUGCAGAUUAACUUGUGCAUGAAGGUCUUAAAUACAUGUUUCAAGAUAAAGGCCUUGUAACUAUGAGUUGUGAAGUCUUUAACUCAGUGUAUUAUGUUACAUGGACACUUCUAAACAUAUGGCUGGAGUAAGGAUAUGGGCUGUGUGUCCGACAUGUCCAGUCAAAACUGGGCCCAACAAGCAUGUUUAGUUAUGCAAAUUUACUGUGUAAUUAAUUGAUAGACCUCCCUUAUUAUGUUUCUUUGUGACAUGAUUGCUUUAGAGCAAGUGAAGUGCCAUCUUGAAGAAAAGUCACCAUUCCACCCUAGGAAAUAAAACACAAAUACUAAGAAAUUGUUUUUUAUUUUUUCAUUUUCUGUUGCUUUUACACUGUCUUACAUAAAGUCAGUAUUCUACCUUGAGAAAUAAGAGAAACAUGCCAAGAAAUUUGGGAGUUUAGAUGUAUAAUAUCCACACUUGAUAAGGGGACUUGAGUCUAUGUAACAUGACUAGUGUAUAUAACAUCACUUCAGAUUUGGUGAUAUUUUAAUUAAUUUUACUGGGUGCUUCUUGGCUUAUCAGGUAUGGUCUGCUCCAAAUUAUUGUUAUCGCUGUGGUAAUGUAGCUUCAAUAUUGAGCUUCAAUGAGAAUAUGGUACUGCCACUAAACUUUUCACUCUUUUAACUUGGUUGUGGCUUUUUGGCUCAUUUAUAUAGAUUUGAUUAAUUGAAUUUUCUAUGGGUGAUGUGUUUUACCCCUUUGUCUGUUAGGAGAGAGAGGUGAAGUUCUUCACUGAAACAAAGGAAAACAACCAGAUGAGAGGCCCCAGAACUGGAGUGCCUUUUUUCUUAUGAGUGAGGAUUUGUUUGCUUCAUUACCCUGUACUAUUGUUUGAAGUUUGAUGCACUGUUGUUUUCAUUGUGGGGGAGAGAGAAAGAAGAUAUGGACAGAUGUUUUCCUUAGAGGAUCCCUGAAAAAGAUUACAUGAAUAUUCUUGCAACAUGGAAUACAUUCAAGCUUUUGUUCCUAACCUGCUCCGCUUUUAAAUAGCUUGUUUGUGUUGUAAACGCGUACUUUUCCUUUUUCAUUGCUUUUGUUUUAGUUUAUUAUACAUUUUUUAAAAAUCUUUUAUCUAGUUUGUGAGUUUAUUUGGAAUCCGAUAAGCUUACAACUAGUAGCUGGCCAGUGCUAGAUCAGAUGAUUUGGAAAUUUGAGAGAUUAAAUCUAUAUUCCUCAUUGAGUUAAGACAUUUUAUUUCGGAUUGACUAUUGAGUGAGUGAGUUCUCUCGUCUCUACUUGUAGCAUCCAUUCUAAGGGAACCUACAUGGAUCUCAAACGCCACACCAAAAGGCUAAAUAGGUAAGUUUCUUCGAAGGGCUAUCAGUCCACCAGCAGCAGGCCAGUAAAAAUUUAAGGUUGUGUUUGGAUGUGCAGAAUCAUUUUAUUGUUUGGUGGUUAUUGUUUGGUGCUAAAUAGGUAAGUUUCAUAGUAUGCCUCCUCAUAGUUACAAGGCCUUUAUCUUGAAACGUGUAUUUAAGACCUUCCUGCACAAGUUGAUGGCUCCUUGUUUGUGUAAACUCAUAAGGAUUGGCUGGGCAGGGCUACUAAUUGGGCUAAAUUCAGUGCAACAGCAGGUCUAGGUGUUAUUCACAGAGGCCACCUGCAACAGGGCAGAUCACUGAUGGCCCCUUACUUGCCGCAGAGUGGGGCUGGUGGUGGUGGCAGUCCAUACUCUGAAGGCGGUGCUCUCUAUGCCCUAGACUUGAUUCAUGCAAACCAUGGGGAGGGUAUCAAAACAAUUUCUUCGUGAUAGCCUAUGCAGUACCAACGUGGAGGUUAUUCAGCAUGGUGCAUGCUUGGGUCUGGGCUUGGCAGCUCUUGGAACUACUGAUGAAGAUAUCUAUGACAACGUAAAACUGUGCUUUAUAUUGACAGUGCUGUUUGUGAUUUCCUGUUUGAACCUUGUACUUACAUUUUGUAAAUUAUCUUAAAUUAGUAUGAUAGUUAUUUAUUUAAUAUUUUUCUCAAUUAACCACAAGAUGAGUAUUAUCUCAUCAACUUUGCUAUUGUUUCAGCUUAGAAGCAGUUAAUUUUGUUAGGAAUCAGCUUCGGCAACACGGAGAUGUUCAGGUAAAAAAUUUGCCUCAAUUCUGGUAUACCAGUGUUAUGGUUUACAAAGUUCUAACUUCUUUUGUUCUGAUUUUUGUUAGCUUGUGAGGUGCUUGGAAGAGCAGCUCUGGUAAUGGAUGCGUGAAUGUUUAUCCUAUGUCCCUCUGAUGUUUGAUACUUGAGUGACUUACGAUUUUAUGUUUUGUUCUUAUUCACAAAAGAGAGAGGAAUUAUCCAUUCUCUCUGAACAUGUAUAUAUAUAACUGAGCAUUUUAUGAUGUCAUUAUAUGUCGUGAGGUGAUUUUGUAAAUUCUUUAGUUGUAUCACAGUGUUCAGCAAUUUACACACACACACACAUAUACAGACUACAGAGAGAGUGAGAAAGUGUUUGAUUCGCAAAAUCACCUCCCCAUUGGAAGAACAUUGUGCCAAUUUGCUGGUGGCUUACUCAGCUCAAACUCUUUGGUGCAGAAAUAGUGGAAUACAGUUACAAGAGAAUGAAAGACCCUUAAAAAAAGAAGAAAAAAAUUGACAACAUCAAUUUUUACCGUGAUGUGAAAGGGGCCUAUAUCUAUAAAUUUUAAUGUGAUUAAUAAUUUCUCGACAGAGUAGUUUUAGUUACUCGUCAUAUAAAUGCUGGCCUCUUCUUACAUGUGAAAGUCAGCAGGGUUGAGUGCCAAAUCUUCUGUGAUGAGCCUUUUCCACCUACAUAUUGACUUUAUUUUUUUUAUUUUAUUAUUGGAUAAGUAUUUUGACUUUCUUUAUAUGUCUCACCAAUACAUCCUAUAUGUAAUUUCUUUUUUUAAAGAAAAAAAACUUAUGUUCCACUCACUAUCUGGGGGAUCCAUCUAUUUGACACUGAUUUCCUUUGGUUCUUUUCUUACUUCUGUUUCAACUUUGAUGACUGUUUAAGUUUAUUGAUUCCUUUGUCUACUUCUCUGUUGGAAUGACUAAAAUAUGUCAUUUCCGCAGGCAAACCUGUAUAUAUGUAUAGCAUGGGUGGCCUUGCUGAUUUUUGUGUCGUGCCAGUACAUGGUUUGUGCAUUCUACCCAACACAGUGCCGUAUAUAGAAUCUGCUAUUUUGGGAUGUGCAGUUUUUACCGCAUAUGGUCCCAAGUGUAUAGAGAAGAUGCUUAUUAAUACCAAAUGGUUUUGUUCCAUGAAUAUACCAUAGCUUGAGUUUGGAAGACAGUUGGGAUGGACCAAUCAACUAUUAUCAUUUUUUUACCUUCUAUGUCAUAGCAGUGAAACCAAAUGUCCAACAAACCCAAAUGUCCUUUCACAUUCUCAUCACAGUUGUCACUCCCCUCUUCCCAAUCUUCCUCAAAAUGCUCUUGUUCAUAGUAGAGACCAUCAAGAACAAACAUAGGGUUCUGAGAAGCCAUAAACUUCUUCUGAGAAUAAGACAAUAGAGCCACUGCUCAUUAUCUUCAGGACCUGAAGAUGAAGAGAGACAUGAUCAACAUUGGACCCAUUACAACAUCUGAAUCUGUUUCCUCUCUCACUCUCUUUAGAUCCCAGGGGAGAAGAAAGAAAGGCAGACCCAGAUAUAGAAAGAAGGGGGAGAUUUAUCUGAGAAGGUUAUCAAGUCUGUCCUUUUUUCUUUUUUUCUUUUUUUGCCAAAGUUUUGUUCUCUGAGAUUUAUCUGAGAUUUGUUCUCUGGAUAUUGUUCUCAAAUCAAAUCAGUGAGUUCUACUUCAGUUACUAGCAUGCCAGCAAGAGAGUACAUAGUUCUGAUAGUAAUGGAAUCCAAGGAUUUAGCGAAAUCAAGGACUUAAUUUUUUUUUUGGACUUUUUGCUUGAUGAUGAUAUUAGAAAUUCUAUUUCUGACUUUUUGCAUUUGUAUCUGUUGUUUUGUCCCAUUUUGUGCACAUCAAUUUUGGACUUUGCAAUUCAUACAGGAAAUUGACAGGCAAGUUCCUUUAAUGGACGGAUUGACACUAACGUUUGAGAACACAUCCUGUCCUAGUAAUAUCUGAAGCUACAAGUAUUCUUUAAUUAUUAAUGGUGUAUUUUCACAUCCUACAGGUCGACAAUGCAGCAUCUGACCUUAAGAACACCAAUGUGAGACUUGAGGCUACUGUUAACCAGAGACCGAGAGGAUUGAAGGCCAUGGGAAGCAGCAUGGAGAGCGAUUCAGAAUGACAAUGAAGGAUGGAUGGGGGCUUUCCUUCGGAUUCUUAUUUCUCUUCUUUUUUCUUUUUUUCCUUUGAUCUGAUUGGGGAGUUGGGUGUUUUGGUUCACUUUCUUCUUAUUUUUUGUGUUAAAUGGGGGAGGGAGUGGUGAGAGAGAGAAGAGAAUAAUAUUAUUUUGUGGCUUUGUAUACAAAGUAGUAAUUAAUUUUUUGGUUGA
Molecule: non-coding RNA, 5098 nt
Organism: Camellia sinensis
Lineage: Eukaryota; Viridiplantae; Streptophyta; Magnoliopsida; Ericales; Theaceae
Source: RefSeq, a predicted model, not a curated record